RNAcentral lists this ribosomal RNA (253 nucleotides) under uncultured bacterium. RNAcentral's name for it is "partial 16S ribosomal RNA". It matches the Rfam family "Bacterial small subunit ribosomal RNA", at positions 524 to 776 of the family's 1533-position model. The record is from RNAcentral.
UACGGGGGGAGCAAGCGUUGUUCGGAAGUACUGGGCGUAAAGCGCGUGUAGGCGGCUCGGAAAGUCGGAUGUGAAAGCCCUGGGCUUAACCUAGGAAGUGCAUUCGAAACUCCCGAGCUUGAGUUCUGGAGAGGAAGGCGGAAUUCUCGGUGUAGAGGUGAAAUUCGUAGAUAUCGAGAGGACCACCGGUGGCGAAGGCGGCCUUCUGGACAGUGACUGACGCUGAGACGCGAAAGCGUGGGGAGCAAACAGG